This 641-nucleotide ribosomal RNA is filed under the name uncultured bacterium. RNAcentral describes it as "partial 16S ribosomal RNA". It matches the Rfam family "Bacterial small subunit ribosomal RNA", at positions 874 to 1502 of the family's 1533-position model. The record is from RNAcentral.
CNNCCUACNCAUAAGCCCCCCCUGGGAGACGCCCGCANGUUNAACNCAAANAAUUGACNGGGGCCCNCCCAAGGGUGGAGCNUNUGGUUNAUUCGNAGCAACGCGAAGAGCCUUCCAGGUCUUGACAUCCCUCUGACCGCUCUAGAGAUAGAGCUUNCUUCGGGACAGAGGUGACAGGUGGUGCAUGGUUGUCGUCAGCUCGUGUCGUGAGAUGUUGGGUUAAGUCCCCGCAACGAGCGCAACCCCUAUUGUUAGUUGCCAUCAUUCAGUUGGGCACUCUAGCGAGACUGCCGGUAAUAAACCGGAGGAAGGUGGGGAUGACGUCAAAUCAUCAUGCCCCUUAUGACCUGGGCUACACACGUGCUACAAUGGCUGGUACAACGAGUCGCAAGCCGGUGACGGCAAGCUAAUCUCUUAAAGCCAGUCUCAGUUCGGAUUGUAGGCUGCAACUCGCCUACAUGAAGUCGGAAUCGCUAGUANUCGCGGAUCAGCACGCCGCGGUGAAUACGUUCCCGGGCCUUGUACACACCGCCCGUCACACCACGAGAGUUUGUAACACCCGAAGUCGGUGAGGUAACCGUAAGGAGCCAGCCGCCUAAGGUGGGAUAGAUGAUUGGGGUGAAGUCGUAACAAGGUAGCCA